AAUUUCAGCUUUGGGUGCUGACGGUGGGGG
RNAcentral lists this non-coding RNA (30 nucleotides) under Cricetulus griseus (Chinese hamster). Lineage: Eukaryota; Metazoa; Chordata; Mammalia; Rodentia; Cricetidae. The record is from RNAcentral.